UACGAAGGGUGCAAGCGUUACUCGGAAUUACUGGGCGUAAAGCGCGCGUAGGUGGUCUGUUAAGUCUGAUGUGAAAGCCCUGGGCUCAACCUGGGAAUUGCAUUGGAUACUGGCAGGCUAGAGUGCGGUAGAGGAUGGCGGAAUUCCCGGUGUAGCAGUGAAAUGCGUAGAGAUCGGGAGGAACAUCUGUGGCGAAGGCGGCCAUCUGGACCAGCACUGACACUGAGGCACGAAAGCGUGGGGAGCAAACAGG
RNAcentral lists this ribosomal RNA (253 nucleotides) under uncultured bacterium. RNAcentral's name for it is "partial 16S ribosomal RNA". It matches the Rfam family "Bacterial small subunit ribosomal RNA", at positions 524 to 776 of the family's 1533-position model. The record is from RNAcentral.